This 28-nucleotide non-coding RNA is filed under the name Candidatus Nitrosacidicoccus tergens. Lineage: Bacteria; Pseudomonadati; Pseudomonadota; Gammaproteobacteria; Chromatiales; Chromatiaceae. The record is from RNAcentral.
GUUCACCGCCGAAUAGGCGGUUUAGAAA